Molecule: long non-coding RNA, 598 nt
Organism: Clupea harengus (Atlantic herring)
Lineage: Eukaryota; Metazoa; Chordata; Actinopteri; Clupeiformes; Clupeidae
Source: Ensembl
CUCUCUCUUUUUUUUUGCUCUGUAUUUAACCUCUCUUCAUCUUUUGUCCCUCUCUGUCCCCCUCUUUCCCUCUCUCGUUCUUCAGGCCAAACGCCUCGUCAUUUGGAGUCCCUGGUGACUCAGCACAGGUCUCUCUCCCUGGUCUCUCUCCCUGGUGACUCAGCACAGGUCUCUCUCCCUGGUCUCUAGUCUUCAUGUGUCCUCUCUCUACCAGCCACUUAGUGCCGUUUGUUGUCCCUCUUUUCUCUUUUUUCUCUUUCUUUUUUUGCUUCAAAACACAGCGGUGAGCGCCGAGCGAAUGUGUGUGUGCGUUAAUCCGUAGUGUUUGUUUGUCCUCCUCUCCUUUUUUCCUCUUCUGUCUCUUAUUUGGUCUUCAAAACACCACGGCAAAGGCUAAUUGGCCUGAGCACACACACACACACACACACACACACACACACACUCAACAACAUCCUCCAGUUCAGUCUGUUUGCAGCACUGGUGGCUAUUAGCAUAUUUGUGACGUCUGAACAGUCUGAUCAGUUCGCUUCAGCUGACUGCUUGCUUGCCACAGACCCAGUCAAUUGGUGGACAGUAUGUAUGUGUGUGUGUGUGUGUG